Molecule: unclassified non-coding RNA, 147 nt
Filed under: uncultured Helotiales
Lineage: Eukaryota; Fungi; Ascomycota; Leotiomycetes; Helotiales
Description: sequence contains ITS2
Source: RNAcentral
UCACCACUCAAGCUCUGCUUGGUAUUGGGUCGCGCCGUCCCCUGGGCGGCGGACCCCAAAUCCAAUGGCCGCCCCUGCUGGGUCUCGAGCGUAGUAAAUCAACUCGCUAGGGAACCCGCAGGUUCGCGCGCCCCCCUCUAUUUUUCA